UACGGGGGGGGCAAGCGUUGUUCGGAAUUACUGGGCGUAAAGGGCUCGUAGGCGGCCAACUAAGUCAGACGUGAAAUCCCUCGGCUUAACCGGGGAACUGCGUCCGAUACUGAAAGGCUUGAAUCCGGGAGAGGGAUGUGGAAUUCCAGGUGUAGCGGUGAAAUGCGUAGAUAUCAGGAGGAACACCGGUGGCGAAGGCGGAUCUCUGGGCCGUACCUGACGCUCAGGCGCGAAAGCUAGGGGAGCGAACAGG
Molecule: ribosomal RNA, 253 nt
Filed under: uncultured bacterium
Lineage: Bacteria
Description: partial 16S ribosomal RNA
Rfam family: Bacterial small subunit ribosomal RNA
Source: RNAcentral